This 500-nucleotide ribosomal RNA is filed under the name uncultured bacterium. RNAcentral describes it as "partial 16S ribosomal RNA". It matches the Rfam family "Bacterial small subunit ribosomal RNA", at positions 30 to 523 of the family's 1533-position model. The record is from RNAcentral.
AUUGAACGCUGGCGGCAUGCCUUACACAUGCAAGUCGAACGGCAGCACGGAGCUUGCUCUGGUGGCGAGUGGCGAACGGGUGAGUAAUAUAUCGGAACGUACCCAAGAGUGGGGGAUAACGUAGCGAAAGUUACGCUAAUACCGCAUACGAUCUAAGGUUGAAAGCAGGGGAUCGCAAGACCUUGUGCUCCUGGAGCGGCCGAUAUCUGAUUAGCUAGUUGGUGAGGUAAAGGCUCACCAAGGCAUCGAUCAGUAGCUGGUCUGAGAGGACGACCAGCCACACUGGAACUGAGACACGGUCCAGACUCCUACGGGAGGCAGCAGUGGGGAAUUUUGGACAAUGGGGGCAACCCUGAUCCAGCAAUGCCGCGUGAGUGAAGAAGGCCUUCGGGUUGUAAAGCUCUUUUGUCAGGGAAGAAACGGUGAAGGCUAAUAUCCUUUGCUAAUGACGGUACCUGAAGAAUAAGCACCGGCUAACUACGUGCCAGCAGCCGCAGUAA